CUUUACCUACGGGGGGCAGCAGUGGGGAAUAUUGCACAAUGGGGGAAACCCUGAUGCAGCAACGCCGCGUGAGUGAGGAAGUAUUUCGGUAUGUAAAGCUCUAUCAGCAGGGAAUAGAAAAGAAGGUACCUGAAAAAGAAGCCCCGGCUAACUACGUGCCAGCAGCCGCGGUAAUACGUAGGGGGCAAGCGUUAUCCGGAUUUAUUGGGUGUAAAGGGUGCGUAGACGGGAAAACAAGUUAGUUGUGAAAUCCCUCAGCUUAACUGAGGAACUGCAACUAAAACUAUUUUUCUUGAGUGCUGGAG
This 305-nucleotide ribosomal RNA is filed under the name uncultured bacterium. RNAcentral's name for it is "bacterial SSU rRNA". It matches the Rfam family "Bacterial small subunit ribosomal RNA", at positions 333 to 654 of the family's 1533-position model. The record is from RNAcentral.